CCCCUUCAAACUCCCGUCCAAGUCCUCUUCAAUGUCCCUCUCUCUCUCUCUCUCUCUCUCCUCUCUCUCUCUCUCAAUAAAACAGCUUCCUUAGAUUAGCCUGUGGAGUCUUUUUUUGGCCCCCAAAAUCCCAAUCCAAAGGCUUCAGCAAUAAAUGGAAAGACAAGGAGGGGAAGCGGAGACGAUUGAUGCGGAAUUACCAAAUUAUAGACUUGGGAAAAUACUGGGGAUUGGUUCAUUUAGUAAGGUUAAAGUUGCAAAUCAUGCAUUGACAGGGAAUGUUGUUGCUGUCAAAAUUGUCAGCCGCCAAAAGCUGAGAAACAUGGACUUAGAAGAAAAUGCGAGGCGAGAAAUUGAGAUCCUAAAAUUGUUGCAACAUCCUCACGUUAUUCAAUUUUGUGAGGUCGUAGAAAUGCAUGCAAAUAUAUAUAUUGUAAUGGAGCAUGCUGAAUCAGGGGAGCUUUUUGAUCAUCUUGUAGAAAAGGGCAGAUUGCAGGAGUGCGAGGCUCGCCAUUUUUUCCAGCAGAUUAUUUCUGGUGUUGAACAUUGCCACAGAAAUAUGGUCAUACAUCGAGAUCUAAGGCUAGAGAACCUGCUUUUAGAUUCAAAAUAUAACAUCAAAAUUAUUGACUUCGGCAUGAGUAAUACAUUUUGGGACGGUCAACUUCCGAGGACUAGCUUUCUGAAUCCAUAUUCAGCACCGGAGCUAAUUUCCCGUAAACCGCAUAAUGGGCCUGAAGUUGAUGUUUGGAGCUGUGGUGUUAUCCUUUAUGCUCUUAUAUGUGGGCAUCUUCCCUUUAUGGAUGAGAACAUACCCAACUUGCAUAAGAAAAUAAGGGGUGGAAUAUAUGAUCUUCCUGAAAAUGUGUCUGAUGGAGCAAGAUAUUUGAUUUUAAGGAUGCUAGAAAUUGAUCCUACAAAGCGAAUCACCAUUGCUGAAAUUCGCCAGCAUCCUUGGUUUCAAUGUAAGCUUCCUUGCUAAUCGUUUUCCUCUCCACCGGAUUUGACGCAGUAUGUGAGAUGAAGGAGACCAUCUUGGGUGAGCCGAUCUCACAAAGGCUGCGGCGCCUGCAACAUGCGGGCAAGCCAUCGACGUCCCGGAUUUUAUAGCGAAGUCUGAUGGCUUCUUUCCUUCUGGAACGGCUCCAAUGUCAACUGCAGGAAUUGAUGCUGCAAGAAUGCUCACUCCCGGAGCCAUAAUAUCAGGCUGUCAAACAAAAGAAACGAAACACUAUCAAUUACGUAUAUUAGGAGCUUUAACAUAUAUACCAUUGUAAAGUUUAAAUUUCCAUUUAUAUGCCUUCCAACUGCAGCUUCUUGUGAAAACUAACAGCACUUUUGCUAGUACAAGGGAAUAUUAUAAGUGAUAAAAUUAGAUUUUGAAGGGCAUAGUUGAAAUUUCAAAUUUCACUGCUAUGCUAGUAGAUAAUUUUGUAAGGUUGUGAAAUAUUUCUACAGAUUAAAUCAUGAGUUUGUGCUCUUGGAAAGAUUCUUGAUAAAAUUAGACCUUUAGGAUGGCUUCUGUGAGUCCUCCUGGUCCUCGAGCAGAGAAGUAUGCGACGACUGGCGCUGGUUUGAACUCCUUGAAAUCCUCGGUCGGGAGAAUUGUAGCUGUUGGCUUCCUGUUUUCAAUGAUUCAAAUCAAGUAUCUGAGCCCCUGCAUCAUUACUGAGUUGGGAGAAAGGGAAGCUUCCAGAAUCAAAUGGCACUCCUUUCUCAACCUCAUCUAUCAAGAUCAGACCUUUUGCGCGAGCCCCUUCAGCCACCAACUUCUUCACUUUCCUCGAAACAGUUGGAUCGGUAUCCACACAAACUACUAUUUUUCCGGCAGUUUUAUCAUCAUCCAGUGAUCCAGGAUAGCAGUUACUGUUAUCAAAAUAACGUAAUGAGAGAAUAAUCUCAAAGCAAAAUUCUAGGAAUCAGCAACAAUGAAAGGAAAAAACCUUGCUUCUGAUACUGGUGUGAAUUCUGCUGCUACAUCUGCCCCAAAGACAAGUGGGUGCUGUUCAUACCGACUAAGGUUAGAGAAGUUUAUCGCCGAUCCCUGAGGUGAGAAACACUCUUGAUAUAUUACAGAAGAACAUUUAUCUCUGCAAUCUAAAAGGAAAAGAAAAGUAAAAAAAAAAAAGAAGUUUUGUACCUUCAAAACACUUCCAUUGCCAAGAACAAUAGUGGACUGAAAAGCUCUAUCAAUGCUUGAGGCCGCCACGGUUAAAAUCCAUGGAGCUGAAUUAACCACAGUAAAAGGGUCUGGUCCAUCAUUUCCGCCCGAGCAAACCACCAAAACCCCCUUUUGAUUUGCAUGGAAGGCUCCAACAGCUAUAGGAUCACUAAGAAAAUCCGACUGGAAAAUGGAGCUCAUUCCUAUCGAUAUCGAGAUAAUGUCAACUCCGUCGUUUAUCGCAUCGUCGAUGGCUUUUAGUACAGUGGAGCCUGCGCAUCCGCCAAGAGAGCAUGCCUUGUACAUUGCAAUUCUGCUCGACGGAGAGCCGCCCUUUGCUACUCCUUGUGCGAGACCGUAGUAGCUGGCAUUCGUUACAAUUGAACCCGCAGCAGUGGAUGAGGUUCCAUCAUUCAUGGUUGAAGAAGUAGAAAAAUCUCUCUUUUAGUUACGUAAAUGUUAAGAAAUCUCUGCAUGAAAGAAUUACCGGUAUCGAUGAUGCCAAUGAUGACAUCAUUAGAUGCUCGGCGAUUUAGCCGCUGUGAUCGCAGGCCCGAUUCCGUCUCUAGGAAAUCCCAGGAGCGCGUGGUAUGGAGUUGAAGAAAUCGGUCAUGGAACACUGAUACCACUUCACUGUGGCCUGCUUUCAUGCGUCAUGCAUAUGCGCAUUACAGAUGAGAAAUAAAAUUUCCUUGCAGAUUAAUUUGCAAAGCUAGAAGGUCAAAAUAACCAUAAGAAGGAGAUUCUACCUGAUAGUUGAGCAGCUUCUUUUUCGGGUGCAAGUAGGAGAAUCAAACCAUAAUUGCGUUGAUUGCUAUGGAGGCUUCUUCUCAAGGAGGAAUGGAAUAAGAACUCUCUCUCAUAUCCGCGUCCAGUGUUACUAGUUCUAGCCAUUCUUACACAGUACAUUGCUAUUAUGGUUUAGUCUCAGUAUAACAAACCAAUCUAAUUUGAAUCAAUGAUCGACCGGCUUGGUUAUUAAACAUUAGUGUCUUGGUCUACCAAUAAAUAAUUAGGGUUGUAGAUUAAACUGAAUAUUAAUAUUUUCAAUUUAUUGUCCACAGAAAGAAAUUCAACUCCUAUAUAUGUAUUGUUCUUGGUUCUAUUCUGAUUAGACAAUUCAUAUUGUCAUUUAUGAAAUGUAAAUUUGCUAAUGAACUUUGUAUCAUCGGUUCCUACUUCUUAGGUAAGUUUUUGAUCAUAAA
Molecule: RNA transcript, 3366 nt
Organism: Ananas comosus (pineapple)
Lineage: Eukaryota; Viridiplantae; Streptophyta; Magnoliopsida; Poales; Bromeliaceae
Gene name: SNF1-related protein kinase catalytic subunit alpha KIN10-like
Exons: 10
Source: RefSeq, a predicted model, not a curated record